Molecule: long non-coding RNA, 364 nt
Filed under: Phoenix dactylifera (date palm)
Lineage: Eukaryota; Viridiplantae; Streptophyta; Magnoliopsida; Arecales; Arecaceae
Description: long non-coding RNA (PDAC_LNC012728)
Source: RNAcentral
GCUGCUUUCAAGAAAAAUUUGGAUGGUUGCGCCAUCCCGGGUUAUAAGUGUUAGAAUACGGAUCAUUACCCGGUCGGAACUGUGCUUGGGCAGCAUUUACUUGUUCUUGCACAAAUUCAGGGAAUUGUGCUGCCGAAGGGCACUCAAAAAUAGUAUGAGACGGACUAGAACAGAGAGCACACACUUGUGCUUGGGAAAAGUUUGGGAGCUGUUCUCUAGACAUUAGCUGGUCCAACUUGCGGGAUAGUGCAUCUACUUUGUCAGAUAGACCUAUGGACUGGCUAACUUCAUAUAUGGUUCCUUUUCUUUGAGAACUCGGGGGUGCUUGACGAGCGGAGGAGGCAUGGUGGAGAGAAUUUUUAUU